ACAUGCAAGUCGAACGAAGUUAGGAAGCUUGCUUCUGAUACUUAGUGGCGGACGGGUGAGUAAUGCUUAGGAAUCUGCCUAGUAGUGGGGGAUAACUUGGGGAAACCCAAGCUAAUACCGCAUACGACCUACGGGUGAAAGGGGGCGCAAGCUCUCGCUAUUAGAUGAGCCUAAGUCGGAUUAGCUAGUUGGUGGGGUAAAGGCCUACCAAGGCGACGAUCUGUAGCUGGUCUGAGAGGAUGAUCAGCCACACUGGGACUGAGACACGGCCCAGACUCCUACGGGAGGCAGCAGUGGGGAAUAUUGGACAAUGGGCGAAAGCCUGAUCCAGCCAUGCCGCGUGUGUGAAGAAGGCCUUUUGGUUGUAAAGCACUUUAAGUGGGGAGGAAAAGCUUAUGGUUAAUACCCAUAAGCCCUGACGUUACCCACAGAAUAAGCACCGGCUAACUCUGUGCCAGCAGCCGCGGUAAUACAGAGGGUGCAAGCGUUAAUCGGAAUUACUGGGCGUAAAGCGCGCGUAGGUGGUUAUUUAAGUCAGAUGUGAAAGCCCCGGGCUUAACCUGGGAACUGCAUCUGAUACUGGAUAACUAGAGUAGGUGAGAGGGGAGUAGAAUUCCAGGUGUAGCGGUGAAAUGCGUAGAGAUCUGGAGGAAUACCGAUGGCGAAGGCAGCUCCCUGGCAUCAUACUGACACUGAGGUGCGAAAGCGUGGGUAGCAAACAGGAUUAGAUACCCUGGUAGUCCACGCCGUAAACGAUGUCUACCAGUCGUUGGGUCUUUUAAAGACUUAGUGACGCAGUUAACGCAAUAAGUAGA
This 815-nucleotide ribosomal RNA is filed under the name uncultured Moraxella sp. Its description in RNAcentral is "bacterial SSU rRNA". It matches the Rfam family "Bacterial small subunit ribosomal RNA", at positions 53 to 868 of the family's 1533-position model. Lineage: Bacteria; Pseudomonadati; Pseudomonadota; Gammaproteobacteria; Moraxellales; Moraxellaceae. The record is from RNAcentral.